GUUACUUCGGUACAUCGGUGACAGGUGGUGCAUGGUUGUCGGUCAGCUCGUGUCGUGAGAUGUUGGGUUAAGUCCCGCAACGAGCGCAACCCCUAUUGUUAGUUGCCAUCAUUCAGUUGGGCACUCUAGCGAGGCUGCCGGUAAUAAACCGGAGGAAGGUGGGGAUGACGUCAAAUCAUCAUGCCCCUUAUGACCUGGGCUACACACGUGCUACAAUGGUUGGUACAACGAGUUGCGAGUCGGUGACGGCGAGCUAAUCUCUUAAAGCCAAUCUCAGUUCGGAUUGUAGGCUGCAACUCGCCUACAUGAAGUCGGAAUCGCUAGUAAUCGCGGAUCAGCACGCCGCGGUGAAUACGUUCCCGGGCCUU
Molecule: ribosomal RNA, 368 nt
Filed under: uncultured Streptococcus sp.
Lineage: Bacteria; Bacillati; Bacillota; Bacilli; Lactobacillales; Streptococcaceae
Description: bacterial SSU rRNA
Rfam family: Bacterial small subunit ribosomal RNA
Source: RNAcentral